This 497-nucleotide ribosomal RNA is filed under the name uncultured bacterium. RNAcentral's name for it is "partial 16S ribosomal RNA". It matches the Rfam family "Bacterial small subunit ribosomal RNA", at positions 28 to 507 of the family's 1533-position model. The record is from RNAcentral.
GAUGAACGCUGGCGGCGUGCCUAAUAAAUGCAAGUCGAGCGAACGGACGAGAAGCUUGCUUCUCUGAUGUUAGCGGCGGACGGGUGAGUAACACGUGGAUAACCUACCUAUAAGACUGGGAUAACUUCGGGAAACCGGAGCUAAUACCGGAUAAUAUUUUGAACUGCAUGGUUCAAAAGUGAAAGACGGUCUUGCUGUCACUUAUAGAUGGAUCCGCGCUGCAUUAGCUAGUUGGUAAGGUAACGGCUUACCAAGGCAACGAUGCAUAGCCGACCUGAGAGGGUGAUCGGCCACACUGGAACUGAGACACGGUCCAGACUCCUACGGGAGGCAGCAGUAGGGAAUCUUCCGCAAUGGGCGAAAGCCUGACGGAGCAACGCCGCGUGAGUGAUGAAGGUCUUCGGAUCGUAAAACUCUGUUAUUAGGGAAGAACAUAUGUGUAAGUAACUGUGCACAUCUUGACGGUACCUAAUCAGAAAGCCACGGCUAACUACGUG